Clostridium taeniosporum is the source of this 87-nucleotide non-coding RNA. Lineage: Bacteria; Bacillati; Bacillota; Clostridia; Eubacteriales; Clostridiaceae. The record is from Rfam.
AAAACUUUUAAUUUAGUCCAGAGAGGCUAAAAAGGGGAGAUAGAUAAUAGUAUUUUCCUCUUAUUUUUAAGGAGGUAUUUUUUUUAU